CAGUCGCCGCGGGAAUACGGAGGGCGCGAGCGUUACCCGGAUUUACUGGGCGUAAAGGGCGUGUAGGCGGCCUGGGGCGUCCCAUGUGAAAGGCCACGGCUCAACCGUGGAGGAGCGUGGGAUACGCUCAGGCUAGAGGGUGGGAGAGGGUGGUGGAAUUCCCGGAGUAGCGGUGAAAUGCGCAGAUACCGGGAGGAACGCCGAUGGCGAAGGCAGCCACCUGGUCCACUUCUGACGCUGAGGCGCGAAAGCGUGGGGAGCAAACCGGAUUAGAUACCCCUGUAGUCCCUGUCUCUUAUAC
RNAcentral lists this ribosomal RNA (301 nucleotides) under uncultured bacterium. RNAcentral describes it as "partial 16S ribosomal RNA". It matches the Rfam family "Bacterial small subunit ribosomal RNA", at positions 509 to 807 of the family's 1533-position model. The record is from RNAcentral.